GAUGAACGCUGGCGGCGUGCCUAAUACAUGCAAGUCGAGCGAACGGACGAGAAGCUUGCUUUUCUGAUGUUAGCGGCGGACGGGGGAGUAACACGUGGAUAACCUACCUAUAAGACUGGGAUAACUUCGGGAAACCGGAGCUAACACCGGAUAAUAUUUUGAACCGCAUGGUUCAAAAGUGAAAGACGGUCUUGCUGUCACUUAUAGAUGGAUCCGCGCUGCAUUAGCUAGUUGGUAAGGUAACGGCUUACCAAGGCAACGAUGCAUAGCCGACCUGAGAGGGUGAUAGGCCACCCUGGACGUGAGAGCCAGUCAAGACUCCUCCGGGAGGCAGCAGUAGGGAAUCUGCCGCAAUGAGCGAAAUCCUGACAGAGCAACGGCGCGUGAAUGAUGAAGGUCUUCGGAUCGGAAAGCUCUGUUAUUAGUGAAGAACAUAUGUGUAAGUGACUGUGCCCAUCUUGACGGUACCUAAUCAGAAAGCAACGGCUAACUACGUG
This 497-nucleotide ribosomal RNA is filed under the name uncultured bacterium. RNAcentral's name for it is "partial 16S ribosomal RNA". It matches the Rfam family "Bacterial small subunit ribosomal RNA", at positions 28 to 507 of the family's 1533-position model. The record is from RNAcentral.